RNAcentral lists this ribosomal RNA (253 nucleotides) under uncultured bacterium. RNAcentral describes it as "partial 16S ribosomal RNA". It matches the Rfam family "Bacterial small subunit ribosomal RNA", at positions 524 to 776 of the family's 1533-position model. The record is from RNAcentral.
UACAGAGGUGGCAAGCGUUGUUCGGAAUUACUGGGCGUAAAGGGCGCGUAGGCGGCCUGUUAAGUCGAACGUGAAAUCCCCGGGCUCAACCCGGGAACUGCGUCCGAUACUGGCAGGCUUGAAUUCGGGAGAGGGAUGCGGAAUUCCAGGUGUAGCGGUGAAAUGCGUAGAUAUCUGGAGGAACACCGGUGGCGAAGGCGGCAUCCUGGACCGAGAUUGACGCUGAGGCGCGAAAGCCAGGGGAGCAAACGGG